Molecule: ribosomal RNA, 394 nt
Filed under: uncultured bacterium
Lineage: Bacteria
Description: bacterial SSU rRNA
Rfam family: Bacterial small subunit ribosomal RNA
Source: RNAcentral
AUUGAACGCUGGCGGCGUGCCUAACACAUGCAAGUCGAGCGGUAACAGGUGUAGCAAUACAUGCUGACGAGCGGCGAACGGGUGAGUAAUGCUUCGGAAUCUACCCAAUGGUGGGGAAUAACCAGCCGAAAGGUUGGCUAAUACCGCAUACGUCCCACGGGAGAAAGCAGGGGAUCGCAAGACCUUGCGCCAAUGGAUGAGCCGAAGUCGGAUUAGCUAGUUGGAGGGUAACGGCCUACCAAGGCGACGAUCCGUAGCUGGUCUGAGAGGACGACCAGCCACACUGGGACUGAGACACGGCCCAGACUCCUACGGGAGGCAGCAGUGGGGAAUAUUGGACAAUGGGGGAAACCCUGAUCCAGCGACGCCGCGUGUGUGAAGAAGGCCUGCGGGU